AUGAAAGACAUGAGUUCUGAGUCUUCUAAUAAAUAUCUCCUCCACCUCCUCUCCUCAUCCUCUAAACUCUCUCAUCUGUCAGCAGUGAGGUCACCCUUAGAAAAUCCAAGAUCAUUCUCAGAACAAACUGACAACAUACUGGGGACCCUCUGCUCUCUCAUCACAGCUCUAACAUGUGUGAGUGGAGUGACAGUGGUGACACAGAAGCCUUCAGUUCUGACGGUGAGGAAAGGAGAGACAGCCACCAUAGACUGUAACCUGGGGACUGUUACUGACAGUAGUGCCCGUUGGUACAGACAGAUCCCAGGAGGAGUUCCUCUCUAUAUGCUGAGGUUUUAUCAUGGCUGGAGUUCACCCAGAUAUGAGACUGGGUUCCCUUCUGCAAGACACACUUCCACUCAUCAAUCAACAUCAGAUUAUCGUUUGACUAUCAGCAAUGUUGAAAAAGGAGACUCUGCAGUUUAUUACUGUCACACAUGGGAUGACUCUGCUAAAGAGGAGGUAUCACAGUGA
Non-coding RNA from Cyprinodon tularosa, 513 nucleotides. Lineage: Eukaryota; Metazoa; Chordata; Actinopteri; Cyprinodontiformes; Cyprinodontidae. The record is from the annotation of a RefSeq genome assembly.